CUGCCAUUGUCGGAGACAUAACGGAUGAGAUUCGUCGGUUGUAAGGGCGGCCGGGGAGCGGGCCGUGCCGCCGACCAUGCUGUGCUUUGUGCCUUGCCGACCGGCCGGGUGAGACGCGGGCGACCUCGCCAGAGACGGCCCGCCGUGGUGGCCAGCGUCGUCCGAGGCCCCGACGCCGGGCUGGCCGGACGUCGGCUCAGCGCUCUGCUACGGGGCCCGUCGGCCAGAACGGGCGCAGUUUCUGCUCCUGGGUCAGCCAGGCCAGAGCCGGGUCGAGGGGAGGGGGGUAGUCGCUCUGGUGGUCCAUCGAGAUCAUCCAGCUUGAUUGUACGUAGCUAGCGAAGGAUUAUCAUGCUUCUCAUCCGCAUGUAUUGUCUAGGUGUGCUCUGCCGUUGCUCUGUCGUUCGACGUUGGCGCGUAUGACUGACGCCAGUCCACCUCCAAGAUGGUGCGCUUUGAUUGCGUUUUACGGCCCGAUUUGAGUUCACCACGAGCGGUACAUUUCCAGAUGCAAAGCCGUGUUGACAAAUUGUGCAUAACGGUGGGUAUUUCUGCGGAGAAAGUUGUGGAGUCCAGCCGUGUAAGGUUUGGCCAUUUACCAUUGUGGGCAAGGUUUUUAAAACUAAAAGGAACGCAACAAGGCGACACACCCCAGAAUAUGGCCUGUUUGAAAUGUUAAUGCGUAGGUGUUCUUGCUAUACAUUUGAACCGAGUGUGUUUAUGAAACUGUAUAAGGUUUGGAAGAUCACUUGAUAAUGUCGCCUGUCCUGUGGCGCUUAGGUGCGCGUCUAUAUGCGUACGGACAUUCCCAUCACGGUUGUGUUUGAUGCUGCAGAAUAAACUUGACAAAUGCU
This 854-nucleotide long non-coding RNA is filed under the name Pollicipes pollicipes. Its description in RNAcentral is "uncharacterized LOC119090897". The record is from RNAcentral. Lineage: Eukaryota; Metazoa; Arthropoda; Thecostraca; Pollicipedomorpha; Pollicipedidae.